This 76-nucleotide transfer RNA is filed under the name Saccharimonas sp. (SeqCode). RNAcentral describes it as "tRNA-Ile". It matches the Rfam family "tRNA". From Rfam's summary of the family: Transfer RNA (tRNA) molecules are approximately 80 nucleotides in length. The record is from RNAcentral. Lineage: Bacteria; Candidatus Saccharimonadota; Candidatus Saccharimonadia; Saccharimonadales (SeqCode); Saccharimonadaceae (SeqCode). RNAcentral also lists the same sequence under 2 other names.
GGGGGUAUAGCUCAGUGGUUAGAGCAGCGGGCUCAUAACCUGUUGGUCCCCGGUUCAAGUCCAGGUACCCCCACCA